Long non-coding RNA from Planococcus citri (citrus mealybug), 946 nucleotides. RefSeq lists it as uncharacterized. The transcript is spliced from 2 exons. Lineage: Eukaryota; Metazoa; Arthropoda; Insecta; Hemiptera; Pseudococcidae. The record is from RefSeq and is a predicted model, not a curated record.
CAAAAACAGAUUUUUUUCAAAUUGUAAAAACCUUUUUUUUAAAAACAUGAAAAGAUUUGAUAAAGACCUUGAAAAAUAUCGUGAAAAUUUCUAGAAAAUUGAAAAUACGCUGAACUAUAUCUACAUAGUAAGAAAUUAUCCAAUGAAUAGGAAUGACGUAAUUUGAUUUUCUCAAAAUCCAUUCAAGUUACAAAGUGAAUAGGUAAGGUAGGUACCCCUCUCUAAUAAUUCGACCUCCAAAAAUACAUACUAAUCGAACUCUUAACAGUAUUUUUCACACACACUGGGCCAACAACAUGAAAUAUUAUCGCGACAAAAUUGUUUUUUGGAAACAGAGAAGCGAUAAUUUAAUAACAUUACCAAAAAAAAAAUGGCCAGUUGAACGUAUUUUUGCAGUUACUUCAUACGUACCUAACUGAGUAAUUUAAACUCGAGCUACUUUCCUCACGAUACGAUUUCUUCAUUCAAAAUGGCUAAUUUAAAAUUAUCAGUAAUCUUUGCUUUUGUCAGCGUUUUUGCAUUUUUCGCUGUUACAGAAGCUCAAAAGAUUGGAUUUUUCAGCGGUCUGAUUAUUCACCCACUCGAUUUCUGGUACUACAUUUCUAACAAAUUUGGAUUUGACAAAUUGGCGAAUAUUUUUGGAUACAUCAGAUAUUUUAUAGCCAUAACUCUUUAUGCGCUAGGUUUGUUGAAGUUUUAGAAGAUUUCAAGUUUUAAGAUGAUUUACAUACCUAUUAUUAAUUCAUAUUGUAACAAGAUAUUCAAAAUCUUAAACAAUCUAAAUUUCAAAACAGCAUCGAGAAAACUUCAUUUUUGGAAUCGGAAGAAUACCUACCUACAUUACCAUUAGAAUUUAGAAAUAAUUACCUAUAAGAUAAGAUGAGUUCUACAUAUCAUAAGUAAGCACAUUGAUGAAUAAAUACACGAAUAAAUUUUUGCACCAGUA